RNAcentral lists this ribosomal RNA (200 nucleotides) under Salmonella enterica subsp. enterica serovar Infantis. Its description in RNAcentral is "partial 23S ribosomal RNA". It matches the Rfam family "Bacterial large subunit ribosomal RNA", at positions 185 to 423 of the family's 2925-position model. The record is from RNAcentral. Lineage: Bacteria; Pseudomonadati; Pseudomonadota; Gammaproteobacteria; Enterobacterales; Enterobacteriaceae.
CGAACGAACUGAAACAUCUAAGUACCCCGAGGAAAAGAAAUCAACCGAGAUUCCCCCAGUAGCGGCGAGCGAACGGGGAGGAGCCCAGAGCCUGAAUCAGCAUGUGUGUUAGUGGAAGCGUCUGGAAAGGCGCGCGAUACAGGGUGACAGCCCCGUACACAAAAGCGCAUGUGCUGUGAGCUCGAUGAGUAGGGCGGGAC